RNAcentral lists this ribosomal RNA (251 nucleotides) under uncultured prokaryote. RNAcentral's name for it is "partial 16S rRNA". It matches the Rfam family "Bacterial small subunit ribosomal RNA", at positions 525 to 775 of the family's 1533-position model. The record is from RNAcentral.
ACGUAGGUGGCGAGCGUUGUUCGGAUUUAUUGGGCGUAAAGGGUCCGCAGGGGGCUAAUUAAGUCUGAUGUGAAAUCUCCCGGCUCAACCGGGAAACUGCAUUGGAUACUGAUUAGCUAGAGCAUCGGAGAGGAGAAUGGAAUUCCUGGAGUAGCGGUAAAAUGCGUAGAUAUCAGGAGGAACAUCAAAAGCGAAGGCAGUUCUCUGGACGAUUGCUGACCCUCAGGGACGAGAGCGUGGGUAGCAAACAG